AUUUUCUUUAGCUUACUCUAUAAUGUGCAAAUAAUCUUGUAAAAUAUUAGCUCCCUUUAUUUAUUUUUCAGGCACCCAAUUGAUGGUGCUCAGUCUUUCUGUUACGCCAUCACAUUUUACAGUUGCCUCUGUGAGCCAAUGAAACUGCCUGCAUUCAAAUUUUUAAAUUUUCCUGCAGUUGUUGAUGCUGCUUGCUGCAAACCGUUUACCUCAACUAAUUACAGUCGGCGUGUCUAAUUCUGCAAACCUUGAGGAAAUUUCCAUUACAAAUAUUUUAUGGAGAGAAAGCUGUUAUGAACAUGGCGGGGAUUAUCCCUACAUGGGCGUGCACAACAGCAAGCAGACGAUCUGGAUAAUCUCAGUGUACUCUUUGUCCAUGUUGAGCAUUACAGGACAUCUUUAAGUUAACGUUACCGAUAUUCAUUUAAACACCAUAUCUUUCUUUCAGUUUAUAAUUGCAACAUCUUUGAAAGGACACGCCCACUGUUCAAAGUCCUUAGAUCAGACCGCUUCUUUUCUUUAAUUAUCUAGACUGGCCUCAGCGUGGACGAUAUGUGUUAAAGGUAAGGUAAACUGGCUGCUGCUGCUUGUGCACGGACUAUUUGGCUUUGUGUGCCGUUUCAUACUGAAAAAGCAAGUGAAAUCUGCAGAAAACCAGGUGUUGCAUGGGAUCAAUCAUAAUGAGGCUAUGCCAAGGUUUAUUUUGAUGCAUCAGUGAAAAUGGGUAUGUGUAAAUUUUUGCAUAUCAUUAAAAAUGAACAAGUGAGCAGUAAAGUAAAAAAGAAUGAGCAGAAUUAUGAAGAAACUCACACGGUGACGCCACUCCACUGAACCCUUCUGCAUAUUGAAUCCAUUGUAUCCUGUCUAUUUCAGUCUUUUUCCUUGGGUUAGAUUUCAGAUAUGCAUGUGCUACUUCCAUGGUUAAAUAAACCAAACAUCUUACAUUUUGUCUGCACUGAAACUUGAGAGGAAGGUUUUUGUUAUUGAGGACAAGUGGAAACCAGGUGAAAUCCCACACCUGAAUCUGACCGAGGUCAGGCCUGAUAGGUAACAGGAAGAAAGCUCACUUGUGCUGAUUUUUAAUUAGAAGUCCUUUUGGUUUGACAGUGUAACUGAGCCCAUGUGCAAAUCUCUGGGUUCUUGCAGACUAUAUAGACUAUAUUCCAGAUGACCUAAUAUGACCCUGGUCAAUUUGACCUACUGCAAGAAUUUCCCUUAAUUAAUGUUCAUAUCAAAAUUUUGAACUACAGAUCUAUUUAGAAUGUAUAAAUACCUGACAUUAAUAUAUGGAUGAAGAAUGCUUAAUUAAUAAGAAUUAAUGAGGUUUCUCUUUACUAUAAACCACUUUAUAAUCUUAUAGUAAAUGUAUUUUGGGUCACUUAAGGAAAAGUCAUCAAAUUUCAGGUUAAAAAAAGAAGAUUUAUGUCAUUUUUACAGCUGUAAAACAUCAAAAUGGGUCAAAUUUAUGUGCAAGAACUCCAGAAGUCUUUGAGUGGAUUUUAAGCUUUUAAAAUCUUUUAUUUGAGAGUCCUUCAUGGCACAAAAUCCAACAGGAAAUCAUCUGAAGAACCCAACAUCCAUUAGUUAACCAGUGUUACAUUAGUUAAAUAAGUCAAUAUGGCAUAAAAAUUGUAAUCUUUUUGUCUUCCGUUUUAAAUUUUCAUUUUUAAAAUUACAGACACAAUUAUUUUGCAUCUCCUAUUGGUCAAUGUGGAGUCACUUUGAGUAUCUUUGUAGCUAUUUUGCAUCUCUUUGUGGUAACGUUGCCUUUUGUCACAGUCACAGAGGGGCGGGUCAGUACCUAUGCAUUAUUUCCUGCUUGAUUUUUUUCAGUCUCUCUGUUUCACCUGAAGCCUCCAUAGUUCCUCACAUCCUGCCUCUAAGUAAAGAUGUCAAUUAGCCUCAAAUGCAAGUUUUUCCAAAUGUCUGUUUUCUAUUUACUAACAGAAUUUCAAAAUAGUGCUGGAAACGUCAACAGCGGUUUGAAAAUCAGCAGACCAGCUGAUCAACGCCUAACAGCUAUACAAAUCCCCACAAGUGUGACUACAGCCUCAUUUCUGAAGGUAAACUGUUGAUCGUAUGGGCUAUAGACCAUUUUUGUCCACUAUCAUCAGCAAAUAAUGUGCCCUCAUCAUAGUCAGAGGACUUUAGAAGCACUGGCAAAAGCAUAAAUUUCUGUUUCUUCUGUAACUUCUGUAACAUCCACACCUAAACGUGUUUGCACGUGUGGAUUCAUAUGUUCGGUGUGGAUCCCAGUGAAAAGUGAUCUCUGCCUGCCUCUUAGCAUGCAGCACUAACACCAGCUCAGAGGAAGUAUCUGUACAGCAUUGCAGCUUCCUAUAGCACUGAGCAUGUCCGGCGCCUCGUCACCCAGCACUACAUGAACGUGCAGUACAGGUGUAUACGAGCAGUCAUAGACCACAACCACAAAAGAGACAUACUUUUUGAGGCUUCUGUGGCCUCACCUGAGAAUGACAGAGAGGAUCAUCUAUCAAAAACACAAUCGGAAGUUUCUUCAGGGUCAAAAAACAAGAGCAAGACCAGUGCAAAACAUUCUAGAAAACCCUCCCAAAGAACAGAGAAGCCAGGAGCCAGGAUCAGACUGUCGGAUGAGGAAGAAGAGCAGGGAGGACCAAAUGAUUCUCUGAGUGAAUGUCUGAGCUCCCUCUCUGUGGGAGGAUGGGACGGUGACAGCUUAUCUGAUUUGUGAUUCUUUUAUAAUAAUAUAGUGACGCUUUCUUCUAUUUAAACGCCACAAAAUUCAGUUUCCAGUAUAUAUACUGUAUAUACUGAUCAGACACUACUGGUGUUUAAAGGAAAGCUUCAGGAAUUUUGAAUUGAGAUUUUCACUUGCAUCUAGAAAUUGUUUACAGUUAUCUGGAUCAUGCAUUAUUUGUAUCUGUAGAAAUAAAUACUCUGUAUGUGAGCUUCUAAAUGUACAGCUGUGUCUUAGUUUUGUGUUAAGUUAGAAUUCCUCCUUAUCAGAAUGUGUAACUGUUUUUCUUUUUUCAUUUUUUAAAGCCUAUUUAAGCUUUAAACGAUGUUUUAUGCAUCUGCAAGAUCAGUUUCUGUAAGAUGUAAAGAACAAGUUAAUGUAGCGCCCUCUGUGACUGGGGGAAAUCCUUUGGAAGACUUGAUUUCCAUGAAGUCACGUGAUCGCUACCGUUAAAGAGAGGAAUAAUGGGAAGUGCAUGCCUGUGCUGGCGUGCUUAGCGCUUGGUGCUGGCCACAGGCUCAUCACGAGCAGAUACUGUUUCUUUGGCUGCUUUAAAGAAGAGUUUGCUUUCUUCUUUCAAAAUAAUGACGUGUUUUAAUUUCAUUGGCUAAAUGAAGCCGACUUGGAUUUUUUUUUUUCUUAGUGUUAACGGAAAAAGUAAAGCCUCCCCCCCCCCUUUUUUUGCUGCUAACACAGGUUUCCCAUUGUUGAUAUGAAACAGAUGUUUUGGGAUGCAUUAGUUGCAUAAGUACCUCUGGAAUUCAGGAAAGUUUAAAAUCUUCAAAUUCUUCACGUGAACUAGUAUGGAUGAAAACUCUCUGAGAGAGGCAUUGAUGAUAUGCUGAGGUCUGGUAACUGUAUUAUUUUUUUAUUUUCACUUAGAAUAACGUCAUUGACAUCUAUGUUCUGCAUGUGCAAUUCUUAAAUGUAUAUGUUUAUAGUUGUGUGUGACUGUCUCUUUUGUUUUAUCCGUUUAGGAACUUGUAUUUUCACUUUAAUAGUCACUGCUAUUAAUUUCUACUCAUCUGUUUUACAGUCCUGUGCAAAAGUCUUUAGCCACCCCAUCAUUUCUUGAUAUUUUGCAAGAAAAGGCAGCUUUCCUGUCAUUUCUUUAGUGUUCAGGAAUAGUUCUCCGGGCUUCUUCAAGGACAUUCAGCUCUCAUCUUUGGAUGUUGGCUGUUGUUUCUUCUGUUCUCUGCCAAGAUGAUCUCACACUGCUUCAGUAAUGUUCUGGUCUGGGGUUUGGGGAAGGCCAGUCAAUGACUGAUGGGGGUUUUCUGUCCGGGUAUGCUUUUACUGAAUUGGCAGCGUUUAGGAUUAUUGUCCUGCUGAAAAAUGAAAGUGCUGCCAAUCAGAUGCUUUCUAGAUUGUUUUAAAUGGUGGAUUAAAGUCUGAUGAUACUUUUCUGCUUUCACAUUUCUGUUAAUUUUCACAAGUGGCUGAUUAGAACCAAAAAUUUCAGAUUUCGACUCACCACACCUUAAGACCUGUUCCACUGAUUUUCAGUCCACUUAUUCAUCAGCUGAAGAGUCUCUAGUCCUGUGCCAGGUCUUUGCUGGAUUUUUUUUUUUUUAAAUUUCUAAAAGAUGAGUCAUAUCCAAAAAAUGCAUGCUGUAAAUAGAUUUUUUUUAGACCUGCCACUUCUUCUUUUGUCCUCUACUGGUCCAGUUUCCCCAAAUUUGUGAAGGCCACACUGCACACUGAGAUAUGCCAAGUUUUUAGCUGAUAGCUUUUUAGGAAUCACAUUCUUUCGUGCAAAAAUACUAUUUCAUGUCUGUCAGACUGCUUUCUUGGGCAUUUUUCAUAGAUUUGCCAAGUUGUCUGUUAUGUGCAGAGACAACACUGGUUCAUCACUUGAGUUAGGGGCCUUUUUUAAACUAUUAUUUAAGGUAACCUGAAACCUAAUGUAUCCUGCUUAUGUUUGCCAUGGCCCCGCCAAUAAUGUUAAUAUGUGGUUCAAAGCCAUUUUAAUAAUCAUUUCCACCUUUUUGUAAUCAUGAUUUGUACCAGGUGUGUUAUUUAAUGGGGGCAUAACUAUUUUUAUUUAGACAAUACUAUAAUAUAUGCAAAGAUGAUCAUAAUUCCCUCAUGGCAAAAAAAUCAAUGCUUUGCAAUUUUCAGAGAAGCAAACAGCUUUGAGUAUAAAAGAGCGAUGUACACCAAGCCAGACAGAGGUUUAAACAUUUCAGUAGCCUGAAAUCAGGAACAGGGAGGCUUUUUCUGUCUGUGUGGUAUCACAAAGUUCCAGUAUUAUGUGCAUUGAUACUUAGGGGGAUUUCUUUUUCAAAUAAGCACGUUGAGUUAUCCUCAAAUUUUUCAAGACAGAAGAGUAAAAGUAUAAAUAAAUUUGAAUUUCCCAAAUGAAAUAUCAAAACACUAUUUAUGCACGGCUAUUACUGCUGCGAAUAUAAUUUAACACACAGCAACAGAUGGAGUGAAAUUACAUCUUUAUUGUGGGAAAGAAAUGAAUAAAAGGAGGCUAACUACAGGAAGCAAUGGCCUGUUACAUGUACAGGAUGUGAGGAGGGUGUUUAUUAAAACAACAACAAAAAAACCCAAAGAAAAGAAAAUGGCACCCAAUAUUAUUGCAUUCUCUACAGUUACCAAAAGACAGCUCAGGUAUAAGCAAAUGCUGAUGACAUAUAAACAAUAUAAUACACAGGUCUUUUAGAGUUAACUUACAGAAGUUAUAGCAU
This is a long non-coding RNA of Haplochromis burtoni (Burton's mouthbrooder), 5412 nucleotides long. RefSeq lists it as uncharacterized. The transcript has 4 exons. NCBI's taxonomy places the organism in Eukaryota, Metazoa, Chordata, Actinopteri, Cichliformes, Cichlidae. The record is from RefSeq and is a predicted model, not a curated record.